Long non-coding RNA from Triticum dicoccoides, 3998 nucleotides. RefSeq lists it as uncharacterized. NCBI's taxonomy places the organism in Eukaryota, Viridiplantae, Streptophyta, Magnoliopsida, Poales, Poaceae. The record is from RefSeq and is a predicted model, not a curated record. The transcript has 3 exons.
CCUUGCAGCAGCCAUCGUACGCCGCCGCCGCCAGCCCACAACGGAGUCCCGGCCGCCGGCUUCCCAUUGCUCUUCGCCUCCUUGGAAGGGCACCGGCAUGCAGAGGCAAGGAAUGCCGCUCCUCCUCCGACCAGCCAGCCAUAGCGGCGUCGUUCCUCUGACAUGCGAAGGGGCUCUCCUCUCCCACCGGUCGGUGCCUCGACUUGGACUCCUACAGCCGACACCUCCACUUCAGCUCGCACCGGCCGGCAUCCUCCGUCGCCAAAUCUUAACGACUUCGAGUUCCUCUGGCCGUCGUCAUGAACCUCCAAGCAGAUAAGCCACCCUUCAUGUGUAUCUCCCGUUAUAUCUCCUCUCUGUUCUGAUUUUCAGAAAGAAGGUUGAUUUGUGGCCCGUUUCCAGUAGGUAGAUGGGAUAGCAAUGGUCGUUCCUUGGUUGAAGGAUGCAAUGCAGCUCACUAAAUUCGAAGCUGUACUAUUUUGGACUACCUAGUUACCCAAGCAGGGGAGAUAAAGGAUGGAAGUUGGGUAGAAAGCGGCAUGAUUCUUGGCAAUACUCUUUACUUGGUAUUUGAUGAUUACUCUUUACUUGGUACAAAGUUCUUGAUGAUUUUAAUAUAGUCUGACCCUGCUGUAGAAAGAAGCUUACAUACAUGCCUGGAUGUGUUCGAGAUGCAUUGCAGUGUGUAUUACUCUUUAGUCGGUAUAAUGUUCUAGAUGAUUUUAGUAGUCUGGCCCUGCUGUAGAAAACAGUUUACAUACAUGCCUGGAUGUGUUCGAGAUGCAUUGCAGUGUGUACUCAUAGGUGGUCAUGAAGGGCGACUAAAAGUAAUCCAUCAUCACAGCAAGUUUCUGGAAUUCCAGGGAUCGAAAUCAGAUCGAGAUGCCAAUGUCCUGUAUGUUGCUUCAGUUAUAUGGCUUGAGCUGGUCAAUCUGCAAGAUGAUGCAAAAAAUUGCUUGCAGAUAGUCUGUAUAUAUGUGUACAGACAUGCAUGUUGUAUGUUUAUAUCAAUUUUGCAAAUUGACAUUUGUUCAAAUGCUUCUAAGUAGUGCUUCGUGAAGAUUCAAAGUAAAUCUAAAUUACUUUGUGUUGCCUAUCCUAUUACUUGAUUUUUUUGCUAACUAUGUGUAUGAGUAAAUUUCCAAGAUGAUGCAAAAAAAUUGCUUGCAGAUAGUCUGUAUGUGUACACACAUGCAUGUUGUAUGUUUAUAUUAACUUUGCAAUACUGAUGUUUGUUCAGAUUCUUCUAAGCAGUAUGCUCUAGCAGAACGAUGCUUCCCUUUCCUUACUGUUGUUGCUAAAUAUUUGUUUUAUGUGGCAUAUGAGGACUGAACAACAUCAGGCCAACGACCUCACCCUGGGAGUCCACUUCUUUACGGUCACUACAUCUGCCUUGACAAAUUAUCUGGAGUUGAGCUCCAGAGACGAAUCGGGAGGUGGACUUUGCUGGAGUUAUCAUGUGUUCUUGCAAUCAGAAUGCCUGGGGAUUAUAAGCCAAUAUACGAUUUGUUCAUUUUCUUUUAGAGGUAUGUGAACAUUGAUUCAUAUGAUUAGUUGGUACUUAAGAACAUGGAUACCCACACUUUCCUUGAUAGUCCAAAAGGUUCACAUUUUAAAUAUAGAUGUUAAGCUAUGAUGAGAACCUUAUUGACUCAGCCAUCGUAUUUUGUUUUAGGUAGAUAAUCAUUAGUUCAUAUUUCUGAACAAGGAAAGCCAUGGUGUCCAGAUGGCUCAAGCAGUUCUGAUAUUUGAUAUAGAUUUGAAGGACCAGGAGAACCUAAGUGGCUCAUUCCUAUACCACCAUUCCGAUAUAUACGGGGCAGUUCUUAAACGUGCAAAUGUUAAAGCCAUUAAAACACCCUCUUAGGUCCGAUACAUAAGCAACUGCCAUAUUUUGAGAGACUGAAUUUUACAAUGAUUUGCAUAGAUUCUUAUGAGGAUAAUCAUGAACUGCAUAAAGUUUUUUUUUGUAAAUAUUGAAUGGAAUAAGUAUUUUUAGGUUCAUUUAUAAUGAUAUAGUAUUUCUGUUUAAGCAGUGCCGAGUGUUAGAUGUUCCAUAUUUAAAUUAGCUUUCCCUAAAUAUAAAAUACUAGAAAGGUCUGAGUGGCGAGUGCUACUUCAUUGAAAUUUGAUUGUGCCUGCACAUUAUAAAAUACAAGUUAUGGUCCUGCAGGAUUGCCUCCCUUCUCUAGAGAUAAUUUGCUUAAUGUGUUCCAUGGUGCAAUUAAAUUGGAUACAAGUAUGCAAAAAAUAUCUUAGUAGUAAUAUAGAAAGCACCUGUCAUUCUAAUGUACUUCCACAUUUUACUAUUUAUGUUAAUUAGUACUCUGCAAUUAGCCUAAAAAUAGUACUAUAGGGAGAUGCAGGCAAGACCUAAUAUGUUGUCAUUUGAAAAUAAAAACUACCUACUUUCCAACUGUGGAUUUCAUUUGUACAUGUAAAAGAAACUAUCUUAGACAGAUAUAUGAUUCAUCAGGUUCAAUGAAAGUUAGCUUAAAUACCAUGUAUUUUUUUUGCACAAAGAUUAUUGCCUACUGUAUGCAUCCUCUUUACAUUUUUUAGUCUAUAGUGAAGUAGAAAAAAAUCAGUUCAGUAAUGCCUUUGCUCCAAACGAGCAAACAAUUGUUAUUAAUAAAAAUAAAUCACAGACUACUGAUUUCAUUUGUUUGCAGGAAAAACAUUGUAUUUUCACACUUAUGGAAAAUGAACUUUAAAUCACGAAAAAUGUUGAUUUUUUUACAAGAGAUCUUGAGGGUGAGAUAAUUUUCACCAAAUUCAGAGGAAUAGCUUAAGUACCAGGGCGACACAUGUGGUAAUUAACAUAACAUGGAUGUUGCAUUAUAAAGAAAUGAGUUCUAUCAUUUGUCAUGCCAUGGAAGUAUGGUUUGAAGUUUCCUUACUGUCAAGAUUUUUCUUCAACAUCUACAAGCUGGCUAGCAAAAUUAUUGCAACUAUAGUUCACAUCAGGUAUAAGGCGACAUGUAGGGCCAUCAUCUAUAUCCAUACAUCUUAAUCUCAUUUUCACUGACGGUUGCUUUGCUAACUUAGUUAAUGAUUAUUACUGAAUGUAGAAACCACAUGGAGCUUGUGGCGUUUUCUUCUUUCUGUUACUAUAUAUAUAUGUUCGGAGCAAUGUAAGGUUUCUUUUUGUGAAGUUCAUCGUGCUUAUGGUACAAUAUUUAGCCAUACAAUUUCUAUUAGAAACCAUCAUCAUGUAUGCCUUUUCUUUCACUACUAUUUGUACAGCAAACCAAUGGAUCAACUAACCACAAUCUUAGCAUGUGGUAUGCGUAAAUAUAAAUAGUGAUCUAAACACUCUUAUAUUUCUUUACGCCGGGAGUAGAAAACAUGCUUAGUACAAUGCCUUCUAACCAUGCAGUAGCAGUUCCCACCCAAUGCUACUGUUUUGUACACAGACGAGAAGUUUGUUUGAGAAAGAGGAGCAUGCUUCCUGCCUUUCAUCCAAUAUUAUAUAUUUCUAUUUCUUAUGUGGAACUAACAAUUCAUGUCUCUAGCUUCUACUACUUUAUCGUUUUAGACAAAAGCUUUUGUAACCAUGAUGCUGGUAUACUUGUGAUACGUACUACAUGUGCUACCACAUUAAUAGGGUGAUUUAAAUAAAAGUACCUGAAUUUAUAUUCUUCCACAUUCCGCCAAUAUUCAGUAACAAAGUUGUAUUUUUGUUUACAAACCAGUUCAUUCGUCGCAAGGAAAAAAAUCUACUUGCUGUCGGGAACCAAAGCAACAACAGAUCAAGUUACUUGGUCGGAAGAAAUUGUCAAGGGUCGCAGCUUACGCAUGAUUGGAAGUGGCAAUCUUUUGUCUAUCUCACCUAAGUUACAUGAUAUAAAAGAUGUAGAACAACCUAGAAUUUUGCGUCUCAACUAUGUGUCAUAUUUUCUUAUUAUCAUAUACUUUUUUUUGAGAUGGUCUUACUAUUAUCUUUGUAAUGCUUAUAAUUCACAAGUGAUAGAUUCUGAGAUGUACUACUGAUGUGA